RNAcentral lists this unclassified non-coding RNA (87 nucleotides) under Flavobacterium fluvii. Its description in RNAcentral is "Flavo-1 RNA". The record is from RNAcentral. Lineage: Bacteria; Pseudomonadati; Bacteroidota; Flavobacteriia; Flavobacteriales; Flavobacteriaceae.
CUCUAGCCCAGAUGGUUAAAUUGCUCUCGCAAUUACCUCUUGUGGCGGUGUUCGCCACAAGAGAUACAGUGAACAGCUGGAUUGGCU